Molecule: long non-coding RNA, 399 nt
Organism: Pseudoliparis swirei
Lineage: Eukaryota; Metazoa; Chordata; Actinopteri; Perciformes; Liparidae
Exons: 4
Source: RefSeq, a predicted model, not a curated record
GCAGGUCCCAGUGUGAUAGGAGCAGCACCAGGUCCCAGUGUGGUAGCAGCAGGUGCAGAUUCCAAGCAUCGCCACUCAGGAUGGAACCCUGACUGGCUCAAAAUGCCACAGUUCAAGAAUUGGCUCUACCUCACCCAGCAUGGAAUGUUUUGCCGAAUCUGCAGGCAACACAAGCCUCCAGUUAAGAAAGGCCCCUUAAAACGGGCUUUCAUCGAAAUUGGUAUUCUUGUUUUCCGCAUGGAUUAUAUGGACCGCCACAUCUCCUCAGAGCCUCAUCAGUAUAGUCUGAAGCAGCAGGUCUCACUUGCAUCAGGCUACUCAGUGAUGCAGGCUUUUGAACCCACAGUAACCAUGGAGCAUGAGGCCGUCAUAGGUGGUUUCAAAUGCCUUUACUGGCUG